GGGGGGGGGGGGGGGGGGGGUGGGGGGGGGGGGGGGGGGGGGGGGGGGGGGGCUGGGGUGGGGGGGUCGGGUGGCGGACGGGUGGGUACCCCGUGGGUGACCUGCCCGGGACUUUGGGAUAACUUCCGGAAACUGGGGCUAAUCCCGGCUAGGUGCUCCGGCUGCAUGGUGGGGGUGGGAACGUGUCGGCGGUUGGGGAUGGACUCGCGGCUUAUCAGCUUGUUGGUGGGGUAGUGGCUUACCAAGGCUUUGACGGGUAGCCGGCCUGAGAGGGUGACCGGCCACAUUGGGACUGAGAUACGGCCCAGACUCCUACGGGAGGCAGCAGUGGGGAAUAUUGCACAAUGGGCGGAAGCCUGAUGCAGCAACGCCGCGUGCGGGAUGACGGCCUUCGGGUUGUAAACCGCUUUCGCCUGUGACGAAGCGUGAGUGACGGUAAUGGGUAAAGAAGCACCGGCUAACUACGUG
RNAcentral lists this ribosomal RNA (468 nucleotides) under uncultured bacterium. RNAcentral describes it as "partial 16S ribosomal RNA". The stretch from base 58 to 468 matches the Rfam family "Bacterial small subunit ribosomal RNA", at positions 39 to 507 of the family's 1533-position model. The record is from RNAcentral.